UUUUAUUCCUAGGGAGAAGAGAUAGGGCAUGGAUCACUUUCAUCACCUAUUUGACUAUCACCUGAUAGAUAGGAUCCUCUUGGUGCUGAUUCCCACCUUUGACAUUUCAGACAGGAUGAUUUAGAGAUUCAGCUAUAGUUCGAAGGUCAGGGCAAAGGAUCUCUACGAGAUGUACAAGGGCUGAUUGGUCUAAUGGAUUGAUGGUGCUUGGAUAUGGAAAUUGGGCC
This 227-nucleotide long non-coding RNA is filed under the name Elaeis guineensis (African oil palm). Its description in RNAcentral is "long non-coding RNA (EGUI_LNC050117)". The record is from RNAcentral. Lineage: Eukaryota; Viridiplantae; Streptophyta; Magnoliopsida; Arecales; Arecaceae.